UCGUUUUCCCCUUGCAAAGCCAACGGGAAUGUUGUAUAAUUAAAAAGUCGCAUCCCGUUCGAGGUUUUGCCGCACGGCAAAAGUGGGUGUGUUGACGGCCGGGUCCCGUGCAAUUUUCUGCCGUGAACCAUGUCAGGUCCUGACGGAAGCAGCAUUAAGCGGAUAAGACGAUGUGCCGCGGGGACGCCUGGCAGGAGCAUUCAUUCCCUUGCCGUGUGCAGUUCGCUGCUGAAGAACGG
Clostridium sp. CAG:138 is the source of this 239-nucleotide non-coding RNA. It matches the Rfam family "Bacterial large signal recognition particle RNA". Rfam says of the family: The signal recognition particle (SRP) is a universally conserved ribonucleoprotein involved in the co-translational targeting of proteins to membranes. Archaeal SRP consists of a 7S RNA and homologues of the eukaryotic SRP19 and SRP54 proteins. Lineage: Bacteria; Bacillati; Bacillota; Clostridia; Eubacteriales; Clostridiaceae. The record is from Rfam.